Molecule: ribosomal RNA, 585 nt
Filed under: uncultured bacterium
Lineage: Bacteria
Description: bacterial SSU rRNA
Rfam family: Bacterial small subunit ribosomal RNA
Source: RNAcentral
CCUACGGGAGGCAGCAGUGGGGAAUUUUGGACAAUGGGCGCAAGCCUGAUCCAGCCAUGCCGCGUGCGGGAAGAAGGCCUUCGGGUUGUAAACCGCUUUCGGCCGGAACGAAAUCGCCCGGGUGAACAUCCCGGGUGGAUGACGGUACCGGAAGAAGAAGCACCGGCUAGCUACGUGCCAGCAGCCGCGGUAAUACGUAGGGUGCGAGCGUUAAUCGGAAUUACUGGGCGUAAAGCGUGCGCAGGCGGUCUCGUAAGACAGGUGUGAAAUCCCCGGGCUCAACCUGGGUACUGCGCUUGUGACUGCGAGGCUGGAGUGUGGCAGAGGGAGGUGGAAUUCCACGUGUAGCAGUGAAAUGCGUAGAGAUGUGGAGGGACACCGAUGGCGAAGGCAGCCUCCUGGGCCAGCACUGACGCUCAUGCACGAAAGCGUGGGGAGCAAACAGGAUUAGAUACCCUGGUAGUCCACGCCCUAAACGAUGACGACUAGUUGUUGGGGUAGAAGUACCUUAGUAACGCAGCUAACGCGUGAAGUCGUCCGCCUGGGGAGUACGGUCGCAAGAUUAAAACUCAAAGGAAUUGACGG